AUGACAAAGGAGGAUUCAUUGUGGGGGGGGGACUGGAGGACGAAUUGGUGUGCAUAUGUAUUAACAGCUGAAGGUUUGGCUCUGCGAUAUGGUCUAUUACUUGCACAGAAGACGGGAUGCAACCGUAUUGUUGUUAAUUCCGAUAAUAUGAAAGUAAUUGACAUAAUGAAGGACGGAGGACAUUCAGUGGGAGGGGCGGCGACAGUGUUUGAUGGUUGUUAUUUUAUGGCGUGCGAUUUUCCGCUUAUUAGGUUUGAGCAUUGUAAUAGGGAAGCAAACAAAGUAGCUGACGAGCUUGCUAGGUUAGCUAAAUUUUCCGAGACUAGGGAUUGGUCUGAGGAGCCUAUGAAUGAUAUUGUAAAUCUUCUUACUAACGAUGUAACCAUUAUUUCUAAUAAAUAA
Molecule: ribosomal RNA, 402 nt
Filed under: Triticum aestivum (bread wheat)
Lineage: Eukaryota; Viridiplantae; Streptophyta; Magnoliopsida; Poales; Poaceae
Description: partial small subunit ribosomal RNA
Source: RNAcentral